RNAcentral lists this ribosomal RNA (1082 nucleotides) under Microbacterium arborescens. Its description in RNAcentral is "bacterial SSU rRNA". It matches the Rfam family "Bacterial small subunit ribosomal RNA", at positions 389 to 1481 of the family's 1533-position model. The record is from RNAcentral. Lineage: Bacteria; Bacillati; Actinomycetota; Actinomycetes; Micrococcales; Microbacteriaceae.
CAGCAACCCCGCGUGAGGGAUGACGGCCUUCGGGUUGUAAACCUCUUUUAGCAGGGAAGAAGCGAAAGUGACGGUACCUGCAGAAAAAGCGCCGGCUAACUACGUGCCAGCAGCCGCGGUAAUACGUAGGGCGCAAGCGUUAUCCGGAAUUAUUGGGCGUAAAGAGCUCGUAGGCGGUCUGUCGCGUCUGCUGUGAAAACCCGAGGCUCAACCUCGGGCCUGCAGUGGGUACGGGCAGACUAGAGUGCGGUAGGGGAGAUUGGAAUUCCUGGUGUAGCGGUGGAAUGCGCAGAUAUCAGGAGGAACACCGAUGGCGAAGGCAGAUCUCUGGGCCGUAACUGACGCUGAGGAGCGAAAGGGUGGGGAGCAAACAGGCUUAGAUACCCUGGUAGUCCACCCCGUAAACGUUGGGAACUAGUUGUGGGGUCCAUUCCACGGAUUCCGUGACGCAGCUAACGCAUUAAGUUCCCCGCCUGGGGAGUACGGCCGCAAGGCUAAAACUCAAAGGAAUUGACGGGGACCCGCACAAGCGGCGGAGCAUGCGGAUUAAUUCGAUGCAACGCGAAGAACCUUACCAAGGCUUGACAUAUAGAGGAAACGUCUGGAAACAGUCGCCCCGCAAGGUCUCUAUACAGGUGGUGCAUGGUUGUCGUCAGCUCGUGUCGUGAGAUGUUGGGUUAAGUCCCGCAACGAGCGCAACCCUCGUUCUAUGUUGCCAGCACGUAAUGGUGGGAACUCAUGGGAUACUGCCGGGGUCAACUCGGAGGAAGGUGGGGAUGACGUCAAAUCAUCAUGCCCCUUAUGUCUUGGGCUUCACGCAUGCUACAAUGGCCGGUACAAAGGGCUGCAAUACCGUGAGGUGGAGCGAAUCCCAAAAAGCCGGUCCCAGUUCGGAUUGAGGUCUGCAACUCGACCUCAUGAAGUCGGAGUCGCUAGUAAUCGCAGAUCAGCAACGCUGCGGUGAAUACGUUCCCGGGUCUUGUACACACCGCCCGUCAAGUCAUGAAAGUCGGUAACACCUGAAGCAAGGUGGCCCAACCCUUGUGGAGGGAGCCGUCGAAGGUGGGAUCGGUAAUUAGGAC